Alosa sapidissima (American shad) is the source of this 720-nucleotide long non-coding RNA. RefSeq lists it as uncharacterized. The transcript is spliced from 3 exons. The record is from RefSeq and is a predicted model, not a curated record. NCBI's taxonomy places the organism in Eukaryota, Metazoa, Chordata, Actinopteri, Clupeiformes, Clupeidae.
GAGAGAGUAUGAGGGAGAGAGAGUGAGAAAGAGAGUAUGAGGAAGAGAGUCACUGUCUGCUUUCCUCUGUUUGUGCUGCGAUAAUUAGUGUGUCUGGCACUGAAUGGGGGGGAGAGAGUGGGGAAGGAGUGGGGGGAAAUUGGCUGGAUGGAAGUGGGUGUUGAUGAGACAGCAUCUUUGUUUUAAUCCUCCCUCCUCACGUAUGAUGUCAGGUGGCUUCUGAGUUCUCUCUCUGUGUACUUUCGAGUUUUCCAAGGGGGCUGUGUUGCGCAGAAAGGAAAAGAAAAAUAACUGUCACGACUGACUUUGGAUAUUUUCUCUCGGAGACGGCAACAGAAGGCCUAAACCACACAAACCGGCAUAAGCAUGCGGUCUGACCUGUAGCUGCAGGAAGGGGAUGUUGAAGAAGCGAUGCAGGUACUUCAGCCCAAAGCCGUUCUUCAUGGACGACUCGGCGUAAUGAAUGUACGAGGAGCCUCGAGGCCUACAGGGAGAGACACAUCAGCGCUGUGUGAGGGAUGCGCCUCAUGGCCAUCAGUGACCAUCACCAUCAGCUGAUCAUCCUGCCCUUUCACAUAGCUCAAGUGAUCAUUCAUGCCCUCUGUCACAACAUAGAAACCUGGGCCUGGAGAGAGAGACAGUUGCAGAACACUUUGAGAAAGCCGGGAGCUGAAACCUGUACCUGUUGAGGCUGGAGAUGAAGUCCCGCGUGUCGUCGGG